UACGUAGGUGGCGAGCGUUAUCCGGAAUGAUUGGGCGUAAAGGGUGCGUAGGCGGGCUGUUAAGUCAGCGGUCAAAUGUCGGGGCUCAACCCCGGCCUGCCGUUGAAACUGGCGGCCUCGAGUGGGCGAGAAGUAUGCGGAAUGCGUGGUGUAGCGGUGAAAUGCAUAGAUAUCACGCAGAACUCCGAUUGCGAAGGCAGCAUACCGGCGCCCAACUGACGCUGAGGCACGAAAGCGUGGGUAUCGAACAGG
This 252-nucleotide ribosomal RNA is filed under the name uncultured Bacteroidales bacterium. RNAcentral describes it as "partial 16S ribosomal RNA". It matches the Rfam family "Bacterial small subunit ribosomal RNA", at positions 524 to 776 of the family's 1533-position model. The record is from RNAcentral. Lineage: Bacteria; Pseudomonadati; Bacteroidota; Bacteroidia; Bacteroidales.